RNAcentral lists this ribosomal RNA (253 nucleotides) under uncultured bacterium. RNAcentral's name for it is "partial 16S ribosomal RNA". It matches the Rfam family "Bacterial small subunit ribosomal RNA", at positions 524 to 776 of the family's 1533-position model. The record is from RNAcentral.
UACGGGGGGGGCAAGCGUUAAUCGGAAUUACUGGGCGUAAAGCGUGCGCAGGCAGUUUCGUAAGUCUGUCGUGAAAUCCCCGGGCUUAACCUGGGAAUGGCGAUGGAGACUGCGAGGCUAGAGUUUGGCAGAGGGGGGUAGAAUUCCACGUGUAGCAGUGAAAUGCGUAGAGAUGUGGAGGAACACCGAUGGCGAAGGCAGCCCCCUGGGUCAAAACUGACGCUCAUGCACGAAAGCGUGGGGAGCAAACAGG